CCCUUGCUGCCUGGAGACUCCAGGAGCACGGAGGCGGACACCAGCACCAGGGAGCAUCCACAGACCACGUGCAGGGCCACAGACAGUCCCACUCCCUGAGAUACCCCACCAGGGGCAGUGCACACUGGAUCCCCAGUGCACCAUGUGCAGUUUAAGGGCGGACAAAAUAUGGCCUGUAGGCCUCAUCUGGUGCACCAGGAGAUUUCAUCCAGCCCAUGGACAGAUGCCCACCAAUUAAUUGUAUCUGGCCCAGCCCAUGACCACCACUGCUGUGCUCCACAUGGGGCUGAACCUCACCCACUCUCGCUGGGGCAGCAUGCUGCACCCCCACCCUCUUACACAGGAGGGCCCCAGCCAGUGCACAGCUUCCAGGCAGGGCUGCUACUGCUGCAGCCACCCACGGAACUGCUCAGCUCCCCUGGCCUCCAGUGACUCCUCCUCAUGUCCCUGCUGCAACACUCUGGGCAGCAGUUCCAAGAUGGCACCCCUCUCACAAGGAGUUUCCUAAGCUGGCAACCAGGGGCUAGGGCACCUAUCAGGAGAUGGGGCUACCCUUGCAGCCUUCAACAGCUCACCAAAACUCAUUAAACAGCCCUCCAGCUGAAGUAAUUGCCCACUGCUGUACUAGCAAGACCAAUAUGAGAACAUUGUCUGGUGCCCACACUUCGUGGAAGAUGUAAAAAUACAGGAGGGAGUUCAAAGGGCGACAAGAAAGUUCUAGUAGCUGAAAACAAGCCUUACAUGUGAGGCUUAAGUAGUUUAACUCGUAUGGUUUACUAAGAAGAAGGUUGGACAGUGACUUGAUAAUUUAAGCAAUUAUAUGUGGAAAAAAGUGACAUCGCCAUCCCUUCUAAACUUGGAUUCAUUCUGUUCAUCUCUUCCCUGAAUGCAUCUUAGAAGAACUGGUUUAUCUGUAUUGUAUUCAACAUGCUCAUAACACUUCCAGUUUUAUAGUAAGACAUUGAUUAUAAUAGUCAGGAAGCAUUUAGUCCUUUUGUCCCACUAGGUAGAUGUAUUCUGUUUCCACCACUGUAUGAACAGUUGGAGAUGGGCAACUGUGCAUAGAGUACUAGUGCUCUGAUAUACCACUAUUAAGCAGGGUCAAAAUGAGUUCCAGAUUAGAGAUCAGGAAGGAAUAUUUCCUCUAGCUUGCACUGAGAGUGGAACAAUAUUUUGUUCUUCUGCUGCCUGUGCAUGACCCCCACAGGCAAACCCUAUAGGUACAUCACAGAUGAUGAAUUCCCUCCUAUUUCAGGAUCUCAAGCACCUGGUUCUCUCUUUCCUAGUCUAAAAAUUGCAAAAUGAGUAAGAUCGCAAAGCCAGCAACUAAGGAUAGUCAUUCAAAAACUGUAGAGUUUUCUCUGCCUUGCUGAGACGUGAGAAUGUAUAACAUAUUUUAUUGAGAAUGACUGCAUUUGCAGAUGAGAGACGUGAUAAUUAGUGUGUGUGCUGGAUUUCAAAACAUGAGACAAAUAGACUUGAUUCUGCCAUUGAAGAUGUCAGUCAUGUGCCAAUCAAAUGUUCAUUUCCAUAGUAACUAAAAGAAAAAAACAGUCAAAAUAUGAAAAAAAGAAAUAUAUAUAUAUAUUGCAAACAAAUGCAUAGUAUGUGGGUGGUAUGCAGUAAGUUGACUAGUGCCUCAUAAGUUCAUGAGUAAUUUGAUGUCCUAAACUAAUAAGGGGGAAAAAUCUUUCUAGCCCACAUGUUAAGUACCACUGUGAAUGAAAAUUAAAAGAUUUGUUAGAUGGCAUUAACCAAUAAGUACCUUUCUCUGUAAAGGAAAAUGGCUUUAUAAUAGAACUGCUAAAGUACAGCUACUAUGCAACAUAUUAAAACAGAAGAAAUUGUG
Long non-coding RNA from Alligator sinensis (Chinese alligator), 1849 nucleotides. RefSeq lists it as uncharacterized. NCBI's taxonomy places the organism in Eukaryota, Metazoa, Chordata, Crocodylia, Alligatoridae. The record is from RefSeq and is a predicted model, not a curated record. The transcript has 3 exons.